This 481-nucleotide ribosomal RNA is filed under the name uncultured bacterium. Its description in RNAcentral is "partial 16S ribosomal RNA". It matches the Rfam family "Bacterial small subunit ribosomal RNA", at positions 28 to 507 of the family's 1533-position model. The record is from RNAcentral.
GAUGAACGCUGGCGGCGUGCUUAACACAUGCAAGUCGAACGAAGCAUUUAGGACAGAUUACUUCGGUUUGAAGUUCUUUAUGACUGAGUGGCGGACGGGUGAGUAACGCGUGGGUAACCUGCCUUGUACUGGGGGAUAGCAGCUGGAAACGGCUGGUAAUACCGCAUAAGCUCACAAUGUUGCAUGACAUGGUGUGAAAAACUCCGGUGGUAUAAGAUGUACCCGCGUCUGAUUAGCUAGUUGGUGAGAUAACAGCCCACCAAGGCGACGAUCAGUAGCCGACCUGGGAGGGUGACCGGCCACAUUGGGACUGAGACACGGCCCAGACUCCUACGGGAGGCAGCAGUGGGGAAUAUUGCACAAUGGAGGAAACUCUGAUGCAGCGACGCCGCGUGAGUGAAGAAGUAAUUCGUUAUGUAAAGCUCUAUCAGCAGGGAAGAUAGUGACGGUACCUGACUAAGAAGCGCCGGCUAAAUACGUG